Molecule: ribosomal RNA, 292 nt
Filed under: uncultured bacterium
Lineage: Bacteria
Description: partial 16S ribosomal RNA
Source: RNAcentral
GGACUACCAGGGUAUCUAAUCCGGUUCGCUCCCCACGCUGUCGCGCCUCAGCGUCAGGGUCCCCCCAGCCGGCCGCCUUCGCCACAGGUGUUCCUCCCGAUCUCUACGCAUUUCACCACUACACCGGGAAUUCCACCGGCCUCUAGGGCCCUCCAGCCACCCAGUCUCCGCCGCCCCCUCCCAGUUGAGCCGGGAGAUUUCACAGCAGACUUAAGCGGCCGCCUGCGCGCGCUUUACGCCCAAUAAAUCCGGACAACGCUCGCCACCUACGUAUUACCGCGGCUGCUGGCAC